AGAGUUUGAUCCUGGCUCAGGAUGAACGCUGGCGGCGUGCUUAACACAUGCAAGUCGAGCGGAGUAACCCGACAGAAAUUUUCGAAUGGAUGUCGGACUUACUUAGCGGCGGACGGGUGAGUAACGCGUGGGCAACCUGCCCUGUACAGAGGAAUAACAUUGGGAAACCAGUGCUAAUACCUCAUACCUCCUCCGGGUGGCAUCACCUGGAGGGGAAAGAUUUUAUCGGUACAGGAUGGGCCCGCGUCUGAUUAGUUAGUUGGUGAGGUAACAGCUCACCAAGACGAUGAUCAGUAGCCGACCUGAGAGGGUGAUCGGCCACACUGGAACUGAGACACGGUCCAGACUCCUACGGGAGGCAGCAGUGGGGAAUAUUGCACAAUGGGGGAAACCCUGAUGCAGCAACGCCGCGUGAGCGAUGAAGGCCUUCGGGUCGUAAAGCUCUGUCCUAAGGGAAGAUAUAGACGGUACCUUAGGAGGAAGCCCCGGCUAACUACGUGCCAGCAGCCGCGGUAAUACGUAGGGGGCAAGCGUUAUCCGGAAUUACUGGGCGUAAAGGGUGCGUAGGCGGUCAAAUAAGUCAGGGGUGAAAGACUAUCGCUCAACGAUAGCAAGCCUUUGAAACUAUUUGACUUGAGUGCAGGAGAGGAGAGUGGAAUUUCUAGUGUAGCGGUGAAAUGCGUAGAUAUUAGAAGGAACACCAGUGGCGAAGGCGACUCUCUGGACUGCAACUGACGCUGAGGCACGAAAGCGUGGGGAGCAAACAGGAUUAGAUACCCUGGUAGUCCACGCCGUAAACGAUGAGUGCUAGGUGUCGGGGGUCAAACCUCGGUGCCGGAGCUAACGCAAUAAGCACUCCGCCUGGGGAGUACGCUCGCAAGAGUAAAACUCAAAGGAAUUGACGGGGACCCGCACAAGCAGCGGAGCAUGUGGUUUAAUUCGAAGCAACGCGAAGAACCUUACCUAAACUUGACAUCCUUCUGAAAGAGCCUUAAUCGGUUCCCUCCUUCGGGACAGAAGAGACAGGUGGUGCAUGGUUGUCGUCAGCUCGUGUCGUGAGAUGUUGGGUUAAGUCCCGUAACGAGCGCAACCCUUGUCUUUAGUUGCCAUCAGGUAAUGCUGGGCACUCUAGAGAGACUGCCGUGGAUAACACGGAGGAAGGUGGGGAUGACGUCAAAUCAUCAUGCCCCUUAUGUUUAGGGCUACACACGUGCUACAAUGGCUAACACAAAGGGCAGCAAGAGGGCGACCUUAAGCGAAUCCCAUAAAGUUGGUCCCAGUUCGGAUUGGAGGCUGAAACUCGCCUCCAUGAAGCUGGAGUUGCUAGUAAUCGUGGAUCAGAAUGCCACGGUGAAUGCGUUCCCGGGUCUUGUACACACCGCCCGUCACACCACGGAAGUUGGAGGCACCCGAAGUCAGAGGAAUCUGCCGAAGGUGAAAUCAAUGACUGGGGUGAAGUCGUAACAAGGUAGCCGUAUCGGAAGGUGCGGCUG
This 1493-nucleotide ribosomal RNA is filed under the name anaerobic digester metagenome. Its description in RNAcentral is "bacterial SSU rRNA". It matches the Rfam family "Bacterial small subunit ribosomal RNA". The record is from RNAcentral.